AACUUUUAACAAUGGAUCACUUGGCUCUCGCAUCGAUGAAGAACGCAGCGAAAUGCGAUAAGGAAUGUGAAUUGCAGAAUUCAGUGAAUCAUCGAAUCUUUGAACGCACCUUGCACCCUUUGGCGGUCCGAAGGGUAUGCUCGUUUGAGUGUCAUUGUACUCUCAUGCUCCCGCUGCUUUUGGAUCGGGAGGGGUUGAGUUGGGUGUUGCUGCUAGACCGUGGCUCACUUCAAGUGGAGGAGUGCAACUCUUGGUUGGACAUAGUCCGGCGUGAUAAGUGUCUUCGCCGGCGCCUCAUUAGAGGGAGGCCGAUCGGGAGCUCUGUGCUUCAGACCGUCUUCGGACAACAUCUGACAACUUGACCUCCAAUCGAGUAGGACUACCCGCUGAACUUACGCAUAUCAAUAAGCGGAGGCU
Molecule: unclassified non-coding RNA, 417 nt
Filed under: uncultured Sebacina
Lineage: Eukaryota; Fungi; Basidiomycota; Agaricomycetes; Sebacinales; Sebacinaceae
Description: sequence contains ITS2
Rfam family: 5.8S ribosomal RNA (bases 1-154)
Source: RNAcentral